Molecule: ribosomal RNA, 260 nt
Filed under: uncultured bacterium
Lineage: Bacteria
Description: partial 16S ribosomal RNA
Rfam family: Bacterial small subunit ribosomal RNA
Source: RNAcentral
GAUCAUGCUCAGGAUGAACGCUAGCUACAGGCUUAACACAUGCAAGUCGAGGGGCAGCAUGACCUAGCAAUAGGUUGAUGGCGACCGGCGCACGGGUGAGUAACACGUAUCCAACCUACCGGUUAUUCCGGGAUAGCCUUUCGAAAGAAAGAUUAAUACCGGAUAGUAUAACGAGAAGGCAUCUUUUUGUUAUUAAAGAAUUUCGAUAACCGAUGGGGAUGCGUUCCAUUAGUUUGUUGGCGGGGUAACGGCCCACCAAG